UAGCUACUCCCUCCGUCCCGAAAAGCUUGUCCAAGCUUGUCUAUCAAAUGGAUGUAUUUAACACUAACUUGGUGCUAGAUACAUCCAUUUGAGGAACAAGUUUUUCUGAAUGGAGGGAGUACAAC
Non-coding RNA from Triticum aestivum (bread wheat), 125 nucleotides. The record is from Rfam. NCBI's taxonomy places the organism in Eukaryota, Viridiplantae, Streptophyta, Magnoliopsida, Poales, Poaceae.